RNAcentral lists this ribosomal RNA (436 nucleotides) under Pristimantis espedeus group sp. ABGD cluster 118. RNAcentral describes it as "partial large subunit ribosomal RNA". It matches the Rfam family "Bacterial large subunit ribosomal RNA", at positions 1814 to 2446 of the family's 2925-position model. The record is from RNAcentral. Lineage: Eukaryota; Metazoa; Chordata; Amphibia; Anura; Strabomantidae.
CAUCGCCUCUUGUAACCAUAAGAGGUCCAGCCUGCCCAGUGAUUUUAUUCAACGGCCGCGGUACUCUAACCGUGCGAAGGUAGCGUAAUCACUUGUCUCUUAAAUAGAGACUAGUAUGAAAGGCAUCACGAGAACUUAACUGUCUCCUUUCUCCAAUCAGUGAACCUAAUCUCCCCAUGAAAAAGCGGGGAUACCACUAUAAGACGAGAAGACCCUGCGGAGCUUAAAACAACAUAACACUUGCCACUAUCACUAACUACUCCAGCGUUCACCCACCCCAACGGCAUCCUGAUUAUACGUUUUUGGUUGGGGUGACCGCGGAGAAAAACUUAACCUCCGCAAUGAAAGGGCCUACCACCCUAAACAACAAGUUACAACUUUAAGUAUCAAAAAUUUGACAUUCAUUGACCCAAUAAAUUGAUUAACGAACCAAGUU